UACAGAGGGUGCAAGCGUUAAUCGGAAUUACUGGGCGUAAAGCGCACGUAGGCGGAUUGUUAAGUCGGGGGUGAAAUCCUGGAGCUCAACUCCAGAACUGCCUUCGAUACUGGCGAUCUCGAGUUCGGGAGAGGUGAGUGGAACUGCGAGUGUAGAGGUGAAAUUCGUAGAUAUUCGCAAGAACACCAGUGGCGAAGGCGGCUCACUGGCCCGAUACUGACGCUGAGGUGCGAAAGCGUGGGAGCAAACAGG
This 252-nucleotide ribosomal RNA is filed under the name uncultured bacterium. Its description in RNAcentral is "partial 16S ribosomal RNA". It matches the Rfam family "Bacterial small subunit ribosomal RNA", at positions 524 to 776 of the family's 1533-position model. The record is from RNAcentral.